UUGUUACAGGAUCAGUGAAAG
This is a non-coding RNA of Caenorhabditis elegans, 21 nucleotides long. Lineage: Eukaryota; Metazoa; Nematoda; Chromadorea; Rhabditida; Rhabditidae. The record is from Ensembl.